Molecule: ribosomal RNA, 230 nt
Filed under: uncultured bacterium
Lineage: Bacteria
Description: partial 16S ribosomal RNA
Rfam family: Bacterial small subunit ribosomal RNA
Source: RNAcentral
UGGGCAACCUGCCCUCAGCUCUGGGAUAACUCCAAGAAAUUGGGGCUAAUACCGGAUAUGACCGCUGACCGCAUGGUCUGGUGGUGGAAAGAUUUUAUCGGCUGGGGAUGGGUCCGCGGCCUAUCAGCUUGUUGGUGGGGUAGUGGCCUACCAAGGCGACGACGGGUAGCCGGCUGAGAGGGUGACCGGCCACACGUGGGACUGAGACACGGCCCAGACUCCGUACGGGA